This 387-nucleotide unclassified non-coding RNA is filed under the name uncultured Verrucomicrobiae bacterium. RNAcentral's name for it is "contains 16S-23S intergenic spacer region". Lineage: Bacteria; Pseudomonadati; Verrucomicrobiota; Verrucomicrobiia. The record is from RNAcentral.
UCCCCGUUUAGACGAGGCAGUCUGUCCAGAGUGCUCCGGACUCUCAUCCGGAUUGCAACAGGACACAAGGGUUGCGCUCGUUGCGGGACUUAACCCAACAUCUCACGACACGAGCUGACGACAGCCAUGCAGCACCUGUGCAAGCUCCCCUUGCGGGGUCGUUACCCUUUCAGGCUCCUACCACUUGCAUGUCAAGGCCAGGUAAGGUUCUUCGCGUUGCAUCGAAUUGAGCCACAUACUCCACCGCUUGUGCAGGCCCCCGUCAAUUUCUUUGAGUUUUAAUCUUGCGACCGUACUCCCCAGGCGGCACAUUUAACGCGUUAGCUUCGCCACGAAAGGGGUCGAAUCCUCUCACAGCAAAUGUGCACCGUUUACGGCUAGGACUAC